This 253-nucleotide ribosomal RNA is filed under the name uncultured bacterium. Its description in RNAcentral is "partial 16S ribosomal RNA". It matches the Rfam family "Bacterial small subunit ribosomal RNA", at positions 524 to 776 of the family's 1533-position model. The record is from RNAcentral.
UACGUAGGGCGCAAGCGUUGUCCGGAAUUAUUGGGCGUAAAGAGCUCGUAGGCGGCCUGUCACGUCCGCUGUGAAAUCCCGGGGCUCAACCCCGGGCCUGCAGUGGAUACGGGCUGGCUGGAGGCAGGCAGGGGAGAACGGAAUUCCUGGUGUAGCGGUGAAAUGCGCAGAUAUCAGGAGGAACACCGGUGGCGAAGGCGGUUCUCUGGGCCUGUUCUGACGCUGAGGAGCGAAAGCGUGGGGAGCGAACAGG